Small nuclear RNA from Pan paniscus (pygmy chimpanzee), 101 nucleotides. The record is from Ensembl. NCBI's taxonomy places the organism in Eukaryota, Metazoa, Chordata, Mammalia, Primates, Hominidae.
UUCCUUUUAGCAGCAAAUAUACUAAAAUUGGAAUGAUACAAAGAUUAGCUUGGCCCCUGGGCAAGGAUGACAUGCAAAUUCGUGAAGCAUUUUAUAUUUAA